This 253-nucleotide ribosomal RNA is filed under the name uncultured bacterium. RNAcentral's name for it is "partial 16S ribosomal RNA". It matches the Rfam family "Bacterial small subunit ribosomal RNA", at positions 524 to 776 of the family's 1533-position model. The record is from RNAcentral.
UACGUAGGGCGCAAGCGUUGUCCGGAAUUAUUGGGCGUAAAGAGCUCGUAGGCGGCCUGUUACGUCUGCUGUGGAAUCCCGGGGCUUAACCCCGGGCGUGCAGUGGAUACGGGCAGGCUGGAGGCAGGCAGGGGAGAACGGAAUUCCCGGUGUAGCGGUGAAAUGCGCAGAUAUCGGGAGGAACACCGGUGGCGAAGGCGGUUCUCUGGGCCUGUACUGACGCUGAGGAGCGAAAGCGUGGGGAGCGAACAGG